CCGCCACCCCUCGGCUUGCUGCGACUCACCGGCCACCACAUUAGGAACUAGGAGGCGGCGACAGUCUCCCCUCGCAGGCGUCCUCGCUCGCCGGAGCCGCGCAAGGGAGAGGGACUCCGGCAGGCGGCCAAUGAGAAGCAGCCGCAUUCACACCCCUCCUCCUCCUCUCCUGGCCUGCCCUCGAAAACGAUGCAAAGAAGAGAUAAACUACAAGCAAUUAUGUACUUUGCAAGAAUAGCACAAAGCUGCUCCAGACAAACCUCAACAAUAACAAUUGAAGUAAUCUCAUCAGGAGCUUGUCCUGCAUGUCAUCAAGGGAGUACAGCAAGUUGCAUUCCAUAAUAAGUGAAAGAGAAGAAAUGGCAACUGAACUAUGGGGAACAGAUUGGCAGGAGACACUGCUGCAUGUUCUGUGCUUCCUCAAAAAUCCCUGCAUGGAGUGGAGCUUUGGAUGUGGCAGCUCAGUGGGACAUAUGCCUUGCUCCUUCCACAUCAGGAGGACGCAUCCUUUGCCUCAUCAGAGAGAUCCUGAUUCAGCCAAUUAUAUAAGGAUGUGCAUCACUGUAAAGUCAAGAGGAUGUGAUUAAAGCAAGCACAAGAAGUACCUUUCUGAAAAUUAAUGUAUCAAUUACAUUUAGCGAUGGGCAGGAGGACUUUCUGAUGAUGCAAAAGCCUCACAAAUUGUAUAGUCAACCUAUCACAUGCCCACCACUCUAUUUAUGUUUGUUUUGUGUGAUGCAAGUUAUUUCUCUUUCUUUGAGUAGCUUUCCAACAAAAGACUCUUAAUUAAAAAAACCAUGUCAUAAAUA
This is a long non-coding RNA of Eublepharis macularius, 809 nucleotides long. RefSeq lists it as uncharacterized. NCBI's taxonomy places the organism in Eukaryota, Metazoa, Chordata, Lepidosauria, Squamata, Eublepharidae. The record is from RefSeq and is a predicted model, not a curated record. The transcript is spliced from 4 exons.